Molecule: long non-coding RNA, 250 nt
Filed under: Lathyrus oleraceus (garden pea)
Lineage: Eukaryota; Viridiplantae; Streptophyta; Magnoliopsida; Fabales; Fabaceae
Description: Pisum sativum (pea) long non-coding RNA (PSAT_LNC042166)
Source: RNAcentral
AGGUACUAAAAAGGGAUCAAUGUUCUCACGGUUUUCCUGCAAACAGAAAAAUGGCUCUCGAACAAACUGUCAAAGAUCUCCAGGCUCAGAAUGCUCAACUCCAGAAGAUGAUCUUGAACUUAUCCAAGGGGCAGGAGGAACUGAAGGCUCUCUUGCUCGAGAAGAAAAAGACAAGAAACCUGUGAGUCACAUUAACCCGGGAAGAAGGCAGUUUACGAAGAUCAAUAUGACUUUAGCACAAGCACUGCAG